GUGCCAGCAGCCGCGGUAAUACGUAGGUGGCAAGCGUUGUCCGGAUUUACUGGGCGUAAAGGAUGUGUAGGCGGAUAUUUAAGUGAGAUGUGAAAUCCCCGGGCUUAACUUGGGGGCUGCAUUUCAAACUGGAUGUCUAGAGUGCAGGAGAGGAACGCAGAAUUCCUAGUGUAGCGGUGAAAUGCGUGGAGAUGAGGAACAAGACCAGUGGCGAAGACGGCUUUCUGGACUGUAACUGACGCUGAGGCAUGAAAGCGUGGGGAGCAAACAGGAUAAGAUACCCUGG
RNAcentral lists this ribosomal RNA (286 nucleotides) under uncultured bacterium. RNAcentral describes it as "partial 16S rRNA". It matches the Rfam family "Bacterial small subunit ribosomal RNA", at positions 505 to 790 of the family's 1533-position model. The record is from RNAcentral.